RNAcentral lists this ribosomal RNA (253 nucleotides) under uncultured bacterium. RNAcentral's name for it is "partial 16S ribosomal RNA". It matches the Rfam family "Bacterial small subunit ribosomal RNA", at positions 524 to 776 of the family's 1533-position model. The record is from RNAcentral.
UACAGAGGGUGCAAGCGUUGUUCGGAAUUAUUGGGCGUAAAGGGAGUGUAGGCUGUUUGGUAAGUCUUCUGUGAAAUCUACGGGCUCAGCCUGUAACGUGCAGAGGAAACUACCAGGCUUGAGUGUCGGAGAGGAUAGGGGAAUUCCCGGUGUAGAGGUGAAAUUCGUAGAGAUCGGGAGGAACACCAGUGGCGAAGGCGCCUAUCUGGCUGACAACUGACGCUGAGACUCGAAAGCAUGGGGAGCAAACAGG